GACGAACGCUGGCGGCGUGCUUAACACAUGCAAGUCGAACGAAAAGAGGGAAAGAGCUUGCUCUUUCCGGAAUUGAGUGGCAAACGGGUGAGUAACACGUAAACAACCUGCCUUCAGGAUGGGGACAACAGACGGAAACGACUGCUAAUACCGAAUAAGUUCCAAGGGCCGCAUGGCCCAUGGAAGAAAAGGUGGCCUCUACCUGUAAGCUAUCGCCUGAAGAGGGGUUUGCGUCUGAUUAGCUGGUUGGAGGGGUAACGGCCCACCAAGGCGACGAUCAGUAGCCGGUCUGAGAGGAUGAACGGCCACACUGGACCUGAGACACGGUCCAGACGCCUACGGGAGGCAGCAGUGGGGAAUCUUCCGCAAUGGGCGAAAGCCUGACGGAGCAACGCCGCGUGAGUGAUGACGGCCUUCGGGUUGUAAAACUCUGUGAUCCGGGACGAAAAGGCAGAGUGCGAAGAACAAACUGCAUUGACGGUACCGGAAAAGCAAGCCACGGCUAACUACGUG
This 513-nucleotide ribosomal RNA is filed under the name uncultured bacterium. RNAcentral's name for it is "partial 16S ribosomal RNA". It matches the Rfam family "Bacterial small subunit ribosomal RNA", at positions 28 to 507 of the family's 1533-position model. The record is from RNAcentral.